AAAAAAAGGCUUAUUGAAGAAUCCCAAAGUUUCUAUCAAAUGAAAACUGAACCCACAACAGCGGUUACUAACUUUAAGCCCAAAAGUUUUCACCCUGAUUCUUAAGCACGAGGCACAGAUCUGUUUCUCUCAAUGUAGGCCACCUCAAUGCAAUGAAGAGUUGUUGACGGAUUGCAGUAGAUGAGGAUAGCAAAGGGUCAUAGUACAGGAGUCAAUAAUAAUCCAUUUCCCUUGGGUAAUGCAGUCAUGGACAAGGCAUACUAGGAGUUGUUCAUUAGGCAUACUGAUGGAACUCCAAUUAUUUUAGAUACUGAAUAGCAACGUGUAAUUCUAUGCUAAAAAACUGCAAUCAAGAGUUGACCGCUUGAGGAAAUAUUAUUAUCUAUCUUUGUCACGUACUGGGGGGACCUUAAAAUGGGGUACAAGUUUAUCAAGGUUAAAUUGCAAUUGUAGAUAAUUCUUGGGUGAUGGCUGGUUUCGUGAAGAUGAAUAUUAUUGUUGAUCAACUGAAAUUUGGCAUCAGGCGGUUCAGAUUUCUUUGACACGCUUCCAGAAAGAUCUCUUGCUUUCAAUUUGUUCAGUUCAUGGAUUGAGAUACAUGGUUCACUUUGUAGAAGGAAAUGAUUUUAAGAACUUUUUUUUUUUUAGUUUACAGUUGCACUCACCAUUAAUAUGUGUGUUCACUUUGGACGAACCGUCGUUCACUCAGAUGUCGCAGCAAAAGCAGAAAAAUAUGGUUUCACAACUAUAGACAGGCCAAAAGGUUUCUUGGUAUUACCAGUUGCUCCGGUACGAGAAUAAAUUGGGAGUUUUUGGGUCCUCCUACGGUAGUAAAGAGACCAUUGAAGAAAAAUAUAUGCUACCAAAUUUACUCUUUGCUGUCAAAUAUUUUUUUUAAUUUUUAAAACCCCUCCCCCAAGAGCUCCCUCCUUUGCUCCCUUGAUGACUCGACGCGCUUACCAUCUGAGCAGCCCCCUCUUGUCUACUAUCAAAGAAUUUAAUGUCUGUGUGAAAUUACAUGCUACUGAGAAGUAUUGCACACUGUUAUCUUGAAACAGGGGUUAAAACAGCUAAUGAGAAAUUUUACUAAGUUCUAUUGAUGGAACAAGGGUUAAAACAACUGGUGAGAAAUUUAACAGAGUUCUAUUGAGAAAUGAACAAUCAAAUGUUUGCUUUAAAUGGAUAAGCUGAAUAGUUAUUUCUUCCAAGUUUUUUAUUAGACUGUGCAGCAGAUAACAUGACAUAUUUAGUUGUGUUAUUUGAGUAGUUUAAUGUUUAUCUUCUGUGUUGCUUUUAGGAUACUGAGAAUGUUUGUGAAUUGGCAGAUGUUUACAAACGGAAUGAGGGAGUGUGUUUCUUCAAUGAUCUGCUUAAAAGAUGUUCCUCUUGAAGCUUUCAAGAUUAUGCUAGAAUUCAUGUACAAUGGGGAACUUAGCCGAUGACUUCAGAAGUGCUGCAAAAUACUUAAUCUUGCGAUUUUCCUCUCUUUACAUACAUAUUCCUCAGACUACAAUUAAAAGAAUGAAAUGAUGAUGUAGUUCUGACCUGUGAGCAUAAGCAGAGCCAUUUUAUGACAAUGAGAUAUUAAAUUAGUACCUUUCAUCUGUAUACUAUAUGCACCUCUUGGAAAAAGUUCAAGAGCUUUUUCUAGUAUGCCAUGUUUAGUGCACGAGAAGAAGACAGUUUUGGCAGUUUUUGUAUUAUGAUAUAUGAGAUUACUGUUGAUUUUUGUUCCAGGACUCAAUGAGCCCAAUUCUUCCAGUGAUAUCAUUUGUAUCCUCUUGUAAACUCAUCAACCACCCUGUGAGAGGAUAUUUUAUUAUUUAGGAGCCACAGUUGAUGGGACGAACAGAGUGGGACGAACACAGGUAUUUCUGUUGUGGAUUCAUUUAGGGGUAAAAUGGUAAACCGGUGUGGACCCAGCCUGUUAACACAUGUAUUGCCACACGUACUACUGGUUCAGCUAAUUUCUUUCGUGUAUGAUUUCUCCGAUGCCGGUGUUUGUGACCUAAUUCUCUGUUUUCACAUUCCACUGCUCCAGUCUAGGGUUUUCAAAUUUUCCUCUGCUUCUCUCUCUCUUCUACACUCUUUCAAAAUAUCAUCUCUCUUCUUAAAAUUCUUUGUUCUUGCGGUGACUGUUUAGGGGCGUAGAAGAUGACGGCAAAUGUGAUUUUGAAAUGAAGUUUUGUUUAAGCCAAGGAAGCUGAGGAGAUUUGCAACCCUUUGUUCAUUUGCUCUAGAUCUCUUUCAUUUAUUCAUUUGUUCCACCAGUAAGCAUUCAAAUUUGAGCUUUAGAUAUAUACUUGAGAGAAACUGAUAAUUUGCUGGCGCCUUCUCUUAAAGAGUUGAUUGGAUUAGUUUCAGCCGACUUACAAAGCUAAAGUGGGGGAAGAGAAGAUUUUAUUGAGACUAGAAAUGGACCGUGCAAUUUGACAGAGUUUCAGGUGGUGAGAGCAGAGGAAUCACAGACAAUUGCAGAUAUAGAUGCCCAUAACUUAAGGGAAAUUACAAAAGAACAGUAUCUGUUUCAGUGGGGGAAGAGAAGAUUUUAUUGAGACUAGAAAUGGACAGUGCAAUUUGACAGAGUUUCACGUGGUGGGAGUAGAGGAAUCACAGACAAUUGCAGAGAUAGCACGAGGCAAAGAGGAUGAACAUGUGGUCUCUACUUUCACAUUAAAGUGAAAAUCCUUCUUAAUAUAUGUCUUGGGUUGGAAAAGUUGCCCAAAGUUUAUCUUAUUAACAGUGGCAAAUCAUGUUGUAAUUACAAGGAAACCCGUUUAUAUGUCUUUCCACUUAUUAAAUAUGUUCAAAGUUGUUCCCAUGAGCUUCCAACAUCAGUAGUUCAUGAUUCUUCUGUGUGUGGCUUAACAUCUAAGGGAAGUUUAAUUUGUGAUAAGAUACUAUGUUGGAAAGACUAUGUCUUUUUAUGUUAUACAGGGGUCGAAUUAACUGAUUUCUCCCCUCUUUGAUUGUUUGAUGUCAUAUAGGCUUUACACGCAUAGCUUUGCUUUUGGUGCUGGGAUCAAGCUUCUAGUUGGAUUGUGAUUGUGUUAUAUAAAAUUAUUUUCAUAGUUAAUAUACUCACACAAAAAAAAAAAAAAAAAAAAAAAAAAAAUUCUACCAUUGCUUAUAUCUUGCCACAAUCUUAAUAAUCAUCUGGACUUUAUCUUGUAGUUGGAGGCUGCUUACAUGCGACAAUGACCAGAAAAGAAACAAAGGCUUUUGAGG
Molecule: long non-coding RNA, 3228 nt
Organism: Lycium ferocissimum
Lineage: Eukaryota; Viridiplantae; Streptophyta; Magnoliopsida; Solanales; Solanaceae
Exons: 7
Source: RefSeq, a predicted model, not a curated record